UAUUGGUAAUAGACAACCUUCUUAAGUGUAGGUGCUGUAAAUUUUCAUACUCAACAUUAUGCUUAUUGGUGAAAUAAUACAAUGUAUGUAUUUUUUAAAUAUUUUUAUGUUUAGACUCAGAAGCCGAGUGGGAAAGUUUAAACCAAGACUGGCUCACACUUGCUAAGUUCCGUUCAGAAGUCAUGAAAAAAAAAGAAGACCUUCUUGCUCUGCUGAGAUGAAUUUCUACAAAAAUUUUGUUAACACCUGUUGUGACUUUUGUCAUUUAAAAGAAAGUCAGUGAGCGUAAUAUUUAGACGAACUUUCGUCAUUCAGAAAUAGAGAUAUAUUAGAUGACAUAUUUGAUCUCUUGGUUGUAAAUAAAUAUUUUUUAAACAACAUGAUAUGCGCCGUUGUGUAGAGUUAAAUGAAUAAUCUUUCCCACCUUUUUUAUACUGUUUUAUAGAACUCGUAUUUUAUAAAACUCAAAGAUUUCUUCUGCUCGAAACUGUUCUGUAAUUUAGCAUGAAUGCGUAACUUUACAACAAAAGAAUUUUUUCUUAAUUUGCACGACGGCGAGAUAGAAAUCAGCACUCAUGCAAAUUAGUUUCAUGAACGCCUGCGUUACCUUACUGUUUUCGGAUGAUAUUAAUAUCAGCGCUGAUGUUGGACUAAGACAGAGAGACUGGGACGCAGUCAGAAUGACGUCAUUCUAUGCUCAGAGCAUAUCCACAUCAAAAUGUUUGUCUUGAUGGACAGUUAGAUCUCUGAUUCGAUGCUGUGAAUUAAUUAGCAUUAAAAUCGCAAUACCAUGGCGUCAGAAAAUAAAAAUAAUUAAUAUACUCAUUAAUAAACUUUCCUGAUCUUA
This is a long non-coding RNA of Pocillopora damicornis (cauliflower coral), 847 nucleotides long. The record is from RefSeq and is a predicted model, not a curated record. Lineage: Eukaryota; Metazoa; Cnidaria; Anthozoa; Scleractinia; Pocilloporidae.